This 4173-nucleotide long non-coding RNA is filed under the name Oryza sativa (Asian cultivated rice). RNAcentral's name for it is "long non-coding RNA (OSAT_LNC001610)". Lineage: Eukaryota; Viridiplantae; Streptophyta; Magnoliopsida; Poales; Poaceae. The record is from RNAcentral.
CUCUGUAUCAGCCGGAGCUGCCUCCAUGCCUUGAGGUUUGCAAGCUCUCCUUCAUCCUCACCACUUGCAAGCUGCAUCAAGCUACUUUUUUUCAUCACUAAUUAUGAAAAGUUGCAAGUUUUGAACACAGUAUGUUCACUUUGUAUUUAGGUCCUUGUAUUUGUAUUCUCUCAAAGUUUUUCAACCAACAUGUUCAGGGAAAGGCCAUCAGAGUGGAGUUUGGCGAUUCGACGACGACCAUCGACCCGACAUGCGCAAAUAUGGUUGUGCAGGAAUUUCCCAACACCUUUGGUCAGCCUCUGGUACAUUUCCUGAAGCCGAACAAGAUGGAUGCGCAAGCCAACGAUGAACAUCCACCAAUCAGGUUCGUUUUCCUUUUUCAGAAUGGUGCUAAACCCCAUCCAUUUUUCAGUUGAGAAAAAAAAUCAGAACAAAUCAAGUUUGGCUUGAACACCGAAUUAGUGUGAUAGCAACUAGUGUCAAUUCUUUAUCAUUGAAAACUUGAUAUUUGAUCUAUCAACACACAAUUCUCAGGCUUGAUAUUUACUUGAAUCUAGGGUUGGUGUGGUGUUCUCUGGGAGGCAAUCGCCAGGGGGGCACAAUGUGAUAUGGGGCAUCUAUGAUGCUAUGAAAACUCAAAAUCUACAAAGUGUUUUGCUUGGAUUUAUUGGUGAGUAAUUGAGCAUACUUUCAAUUUCUAGAUUUUAAAUGGACUAACAAGAAGCAGUGUGAUAUUUACAUUAUUGGAUUGCUUGUUGUGACAUUUAUUGGCUUAGUAUAUAUAUAUUGAUUUCCUGCAAAAAGAUAUGAUAAAAAUAAGUCUCAUGAAGAACUUUGUAUUUCUAAAUAGGUGGCACAGAAGGCCUAUUUGCAAAUCAGACAUUGGAGAUCACAGAUGAUGUUCUUUCAGCAUAUAGAAACCAAGGUUUAAAUUUAUUGAUCUUGAUUGCUAGCUUUCUAAAUAUAUUAUGGCCUAUAUAACAAGAAAGUCUUUACCUUCUUGAAGGUGGUUUUGAUUUUCUCGGCAGAACUGUUGAUCAAAUCCACACAACUGAGCAAGUGAAUGCUGCAAUGUCAACAUGCUGUGAUCUUGACUUGGAUGGCCUCGUCAUCAUUGGAGGUACUAAUAGGUUAUACCAGCAAAUUUGCUGAUGAAAAAAAAAAACAUCACAAUGGAUUUUACAUGAGCACUUCCAUGCCAUUUCAAUCUAGAGUGAAUAAAGAGCUGUGAAAAAAUUGGGGUUACAUGAAAAUAAGGACCAAGCAAUCAACCUUAUUUCAAAAACAUUCUCUGCCUUAAGGACUUGUGUAAUUCUUGAUGUUAUCUUGUCUUCAGGGGUGACCUCCAAUUCAGAUGCUGCUCAGCUUGCAGAAACAUUUGCCAAUCACAACUGCAAGACAAAGGUAUAUACACAUUGUUAAUUCCACAUCCUCACAUUGGAAUAUAACUCCCAUUUUCAGAUCUUUAUCCUGUUUGACAGGUUGUAGGCGUGCCUGUUUCAUUAAAUGGUGAUCUCAAGAAUCAGUUUGUUGAGACAACUGUUGGGUUUGAUACAGUGUGCAAGGUGAGUCUUGCAGGCUAUGCAGCAAAUAAAAUUCCAAUUUAAAGCUAAGACAGUAUCUACAGUUCCCCAAAAAAAAUUAAAUGAAGGAUACAAGUGUACGAUUCCCCCAAAAAAAUUAAAUAAAGGAUACAAAGUGUUACAUCAUGACAUGUUUUUUUAAUGUAAAUGUCUUCUAUGAAAAUGUCUUUUCAGGUGAAUUCCCAGCUUAUAAGUAAUGUUUGCCUCGAUGCAAUCUCAGCUGGGAAGGUACACUCUAUUAUAGUCUAUCAUAAUAAAUUGGACUUAUUAGGAUCACUUAUUAUUUAUCUAAUUUAUAUAAUUUCCCUGCAGUACUACCAUUUUGUCCGUGUGAUGGGUUGGAAAGCAUCUCAUGUUGCCUUGGAGUGUGCACUUCAAUCACAACCAAAUAUGGUCUGCCUUGUCGCCUUGAUCAAAUGCAUCGUAAAAUCUAGCAUAAGUGAACAGUUGUAGAAUUAUUUUUAUAAUUGUACAUUUUCACAUGCAGGUUAUUUUAGGGGAAGAAGUGGCAUUUUCCAAGCUCACUUUGAAGGAAAUUAUAAGCAAGAUAUGUGAUGGAGUGCAAGCAAGGGCAGCACAAGGUCUCUACAAUUCAUUGGCUGUCUUAAGUUGAUGAAUUCUCACUAAAGACUGAAUUGUGCAUAUAUCAAUUAAAUAGAAACAUGAGGUAACUUUGUGACAAUCUAAUAUAUUGGAUAUAAUUUUUCAGAGAAGUACCAUGGUGUAUUACUUAUUUCGGAGGGACUAAUCGAAAGCAUUCCAGAAAUGUUUGCACUUAUUCAGGUUUAUACUUGUUACUACAAUAAAAUGCAGUGACAUCUCAUUUCUAUGAAAUCUUAUUGGUUUCCUUUAUGCGUAUUGUAGGAAAUUAAUAUUCUCCACAGCAAUAAAGUUCCUGAGAACAACAUUCCAUCUCAACUUUCUCCAUGGGCUACUGCCUUGUAUAAUUACUUGCCUCCUUUCAUAAGAAGAGAGGUAUUGGUGUAUUAAAUUACUAACAUAAUUUAUUUUAUUAAUAAAAAUUGUGGUCUGAAGAUUUGGAACUUUCUGUUAUAGUUGCUGCUACAUCAAGACUCCGAUAACUCAGCACAAUUGUCCCAGGUUUGUGUUUUCUGGAAUGCUCAGCAGUCAGUUAUUCAUGGAAAUGCAAUUUUUGAUGUCAAACUUUUUAUUGAAAUUUUCAGAUUGAUACUGAGCAACUCUUAGCUCAUUUAGUAGAAGCAGAAAUGAACAAGCGAAUGGUAAGUUCAGUUAAAACUUGAGCUUUAUGUGCCCAGUUCAGUAUUCAGUUCUUUUUUUUUUUAAUUUGAUUGUGCUUGAUUCUCAGAAAGAGGGGAAAUACAUUGGAAGGAAAUUCAGCUCCGUUUGCCACUUUUUCGGGUAUCAAGCGCGAGGAUCCUUACCAUCAAACUUCGAUUGUGAUUACGCCUAUGUAAGUAGUAAACCUGAACUAUGUUCGUCACAAAUAAAAGAUAUAUAUAUAUAUAUAUAUAUAUAUAUAUAUAUAUAUAUAUAUAUACACACACACACACACACACACACACACACAUGCUAUAGGCUCUAAACCUUGAAGAAUGCAGGUUCUUGGUCAUAUCUGCAUGCACAUACUAGCAGCUGGGCUGAAUGGUUACAUGGCUUUUGCAACAAAUCUGAAGGAACCAACAAACAAAUGGCGAUGCGCUGCCGUUCCUCUAACAGUAUGCUUUUUAGUUGACUGUAUUGUUUUCAUUAAUUAUGCUCAUUUAAAAUGUUCGAGUUUGUGACGUGAUACACUGUUUCUAAAUCUUACCAGGCAAUGAUGAGUGUGAAGAGGCACUCACGCAGUCCUGGAGCUGUUCCUACUGGAAAGCCAGUUAUCCAUCCUUCUCCAGUUGACCUGCAAGGGAAGGCUUAUGCGUAAGUCCAUAGUUAACAGCCUUAAAACUAUUAAUUUGCUGCUUCAGGCAAAAGACUGAACACUGACAUCCAUGAAUCUCAUUCAGUGGCUUGUCAUAAAAAAAUCAUGUGUUGAUUCCUCCGGUAAAAUGUUAAUAAUAUUGCCACAAAAGUUUUUAGUUAAUGAGGCAACAGUAAGAUGAUAUAGAAUUAGUUUAGAUUAACUCUGCAUAAUAUGUAGACACAUAAAUGCAUCAUUUUUUGUGUUAAUAUCAUUGAUCUUUUACAGUGACUCUUCAGAUUAUAAGGCAGAGGAAAACUAUAAACUAAUUCUUGUUUCUCUCAUUACUCUAGGCUCCUGAGAGAGAAAGCCUCGAGCUUCCUAUUAGAUGAUUUCUACAGAACUCCAGGGGGCAUUCAAUUUGAUGGAUCUGGAACAAAUGUUAAGCCAAUCACACUGACUGUCGAAGACCAAGACUACCUGGGUGACAUUGAGCUACUGCAAGACUACUUGGAGAAGGUUUGUCAACAAAAUCUGAACCUGUUAACUUCAUAAGAGCUAAAAAAAAAAUUCAGUACCUGUAGUUGAAGCUUGUCAAACUGAUAUCCCAGGUGAGGAACAUUGUGAAGCCCGGAUGCUCGAGGGAGAUCCUGAAGGCGGCGAUAAGCUCGAUGUCAUCAGUGAAGGAUGUGCUGAAGGUUAUGUCGGCUCCCU